UGGCUCAGAACGAACGCUGGCGGCAUGCCUAACACAUGCAAGUCGAACGCUCUCGGGGGUUCGCCUCCGGGGGAGUGGCGCACGGGUGAGUAGCGCGUGGGAACCUGCCCUGUUGUGGGGGAUAACCGAGGGAAACUUCGGCUAAUACCGCAUACGCCCCCGGAGUUGAUCCGGGGGGAAAGAUUUAUCGCAGCAGGAGGGGCCCGCGUCGGAUUAGCUGGUUGGCGGGGUAACGGCCCACCAAGGCGAGGAUAAGUAGCUGGUCUGAGAGGAUGAUCAGCCACACUGGGACUGUUUCUCGGCCCAGAGAACUACGGGAGGCAGC
Molecule: ribosomal RNA, 325 nt
Filed under: uncultured Alphaproteobacteria bacterium
Lineage: Bacteria; Pseudomonadati; Pseudomonadota; Alphaproteobacteria
Description: bacterial SSU rRNA
Rfam family: Bacterial small subunit ribosomal RNA
Source: RNAcentral